Hyaena hyaena (striped hyena) is the source of this 266-nucleotide long non-coding RNA. RefSeq lists it as uncharacterized. The record is from RefSeq and is a predicted model, not a curated record. The transcript is spliced from 3 exons. NCBI's taxonomy places the organism in Eukaryota, Metazoa, Chordata, Mammalia, Carnivora, Hyaenidae.
AGGCUGGCAGAUACGUUCGUUAGAUUACUCCUUUCUGCCCGUGGACGCCGCCGAGUAAGCAUCGAUAAAGUCUCCCCUCCCACCGCCGUCAUGUCUAAGUCAGAGUCUCCCAAAGAGCCUGAACAGCUGCGGAAGCUUUUCAUCGGAGGUUUGAGCUUUGAAACAACCGAUGAGAGUCUGAGGAGCCAUUUUGAGCAAUGGGGAACGCUUACGGACUGUGUGGUAAUGAGAGAUCCAAACACCAAGCGCUCCAGAGGCUUUGGAUU